RNAcentral lists this long non-coding RNA (710 nucleotides) under Gossypium raimondii (Peruvian cotton). RNAcentral's name for it is "long non-coding RNA (GRAI_LNC001423)". Lineage: Eukaryota; Viridiplantae; Streptophyta; Magnoliopsida; Malvales; Malvaceae. The record is from RNAcentral.
GCUUGCAAAACGAGGAGCACCGACGUUUGUAAUAAGGCCGCAAGUAGGUUCAGAACGUGAAAAAAAUAAAAAAAAUUCGAGUUGUAAUUUAAUUUUUUUUCCUUCCUUGUAUUUACCUUACUAUUGUAUUGGAGUAUCACAAAAAAAAAAAUCAAAAUUCAAAAAAAAAUUUGAAAAAAAAAAGAAAAAAAGAAGUGAGCAAAAAAAAAGAGUAAAAAAAAGAAGAAAAAAAGAAGUGAAAAGUCUUGCGAGUUUUAUUUUCAUCUCUUAUUACUCCGAUCAUCAAGUAUCCCUUCCUACCAUUAUUUAUCCAUCCCAACGCCACACUUUAAACCAAUUUUUUUCUUUGUUCAGCCUACCUUACACCUGACAUUAUCCCUUGUAACCCAUUUUGAAACCGACCCUCAAGCAGUAAAUUAAGUCUACCGAGACGAAUUACGAAUUUGCGAGACGAGGUCGAGUGGUAAAAGGCAAGAGAGCGUGAGUUCAUUCGAGAGAAGAAAAGCCAAAUAAGAGUGAAACACGAGUGGUGUGCCAUUUAUUAUUUUCUUUGCGACAGAACUUGUGAGAUUUUGUGGUGAGGAUUAUUUUUCUUUCUAAUUUAUCUUUUGUUUUCUAACAUUUUGUUGAAACAUGUCCGAAGAAUUUUCUGAAUGUGAAUUCCAAGUAUGGAAGCGAGAAAUGUAAAGGAUAAUACGAUCUAAAUUCCG